AUUGAACGCUGGCGGCAGGCCUAACACAUGCAAGUCGAACGGUAACAGGAAGAAGCUUGCUUCUUUGCUGACGAGUGGCGGACGGGUGAGUAAUGUCUGGGAAACUGCCUGAUGGAGGGGGAUAACUACUGGAAACGGUAGCUAAUACCGCAUAACGUCGCAAGACCAAAGAGGGGGACCUUCGGGCCUCUUGCCAUCGGAUGUGCCCAGAUGGGAUUAGCUUGUUGGUGGGGUAACGGCUCACCAAGGCGACGAUCCCUAGCUGGUCUGAGAGGAUGACCAGCCACACUGGAACUGAGACACGGUCCAGACUCCUACGGGAGGCAGCAGUGGGGAAUAUUGCACAAUGGGCGCAAGCCUGAUGCAGCCAUGCCGCGUGUAUGAAGAAGGCCUUCGGGUUGUAAAGUACUUUCAGCGGGGAGGAAGGGAGUAAAGUUAAUACCUUUGCUCAUUGACGUUACCCGCAGAAUAAGCACCGGCUAACUCCGUGCCAGCAGCCGCGGUAAUACGGAGGGUGCAAGCGUUAAUCGGAAUUACUGGGCGUAAAGCGCACGCAGGCGGUUUGUUAAGUCAGAUGUGAAAUCCCCGGGCUCAACCUAGAAACUGCAUCUGAUACUGGCAAGCUUGAGUCUCGUAGAGGGGGGUAGAAUUCCAGGUGUAGCGGUGAAAUGCGUAGAGAUCUGGAGGAAUACCGGUGGCGAAGGCGGCCCCCUGGACGAAGACUGACGCUCAGGUGCGAAAGCGUGGGGAGCAAACAGGAUUAGAUACCCUGGUAGUCCACGCCGUAAACGAUGUCGACUUGGAGGUUGUGCCCUUGAGGCGUGGCUUCCGGAGCUAACGCGUUAAGUCGACCGCCUGGGGAGUACGGCCGCAAGGUUAAAACUCAAAUGAAUUGACGGGGGCCCGCACAAGCGGUGGAGCAUGUGGUUUAAUUCGAUGCAACGCGAAGAACCUUACCUGGUCUUGACAUCCACGGAAGUUUUCAGAGAUGAGAAUGUGCCUUCGGGAACCGUGAGACAGGUGCUGCAUGGCUGUCGUCAGCUCGUGUUGUGAAAUGUUGGGUUAAGUCCCGCAACGAGCGCAACCCUUAUCCUUUGUUGCCAGCGGUCCGGCCGGGAACUCAAAGGAGACUGCCAGUGAUAAACUGGAGGAAGGUGGGGAUGACGUCAAGUCAUCAUGGCCCUUACGACCAGGGCUACACACGUGCUACAAUGGCGCAUACAAAGAGAAGCGACCUCGCGAGAGCAAGCGGACCUCAUAAAGUGCGUCGUAGUCCGGAUUGGAGUCUGCAACUCGACUCCAUGAAGUCGGAAUCGCUAGUAAUCGUGGAUCAGAAUGCCACGGUGAAUACGUUCCCGGGCCU
Molecule: ribosomal RNA, 1363 nt
Filed under: uncultured bacterium
Lineage: Bacteria
Description: bacterial SSU rRNA
Rfam family: Bacterial small subunit ribosomal RNA
Source: RNAcentral